UUUCUUCUAGGGAUGCUAUUGUCUGGUGAAAGUCUUAAAAUCUGAUCAUUGGGCUGGAGAGAUGGCUCAGCCGUUAAAGGCUAGGCUCACAACCAAAAAUAUA
Molecule: microRNA precursor, 103 nt
Filed under: Mesocricetus auratus (golden hamster)
Lineage: Eukaryota; Metazoa; Chordata; Mammalia; Rodentia; Cricetidae
Description: miRNA (ENSMAUG00000004532.1)
Source: RNAcentral